ACGCUGGCGGCAGGCCUAACACAUGCAUUCGAGCGGCAGCGACAACAUUGACCCUUCGGGGGAUUUGUUGGGCGGCGAGCGGCGGACGGGUGAGUAAUGCCUGGGAACAUGCCUUACUGUGGGGGAUAACCAUUGGAAACGAUGGCUAAUACCGCAUAAUCUCUACGGAGCAAAGAGGGGGACCUUCGGGCCUCUCGCGCUAAGAUUGGCCCAGGUGGGAUUAGCUAGUAGGUGGGGUAACGGCUCACCUAGGCGACGAUCCCUAACUGGUCUGAGAGGAUGAUCAGCCACACUGGAACUGAGACACGGUCCAGACUCCUACGGGAGGCAGCAGUGGGGAAUAUUGCACAAUGGGGGAAACCCUGAUGCAGCCAUGCCGCGUGUGUGAAGAAGGCCUUCGGGUUGUAAAGCACUUUCAGCAGUGAGGAAGGCGGUAUCGUUAAUAGCGGUAUCGUUUGACGUUAGCUGCAGAAGAAGCACCGGCUAACUCCGUGCCAGCAGCCGCGGUAAUACGGAGGGUGCGAGCGUUAAUCGGAAUUACUGGGCGUAAAGCGCAUGCAGGCGGCUUGUUAAGCCAGAUGUGAAAGCCCGGGGCUCAACCUCGGAAUCGCAUUUGGAACUGGCCGCUAGAGUCUUGUAGAGGGGGGUAGAAUUCCGGUGUAGCGGUGAAAUGCGU
This 676-nucleotide ribosomal RNA is filed under the name Vibrio sp. DBTG. Its description in RNAcentral is "bacterial SSU rRNA". It matches the Rfam family "Bacterial small subunit ribosomal RNA", at positions 33 to 691 of the family's 1533-position model. Lineage: Bacteria; Pseudomonadati; Pseudomonadota; Gammaproteobacteria; Vibrionales; Vibrionaceae. The record is from RNAcentral.